AUUGAACGCUGGCGGCAUGCCUAACACAUGCAAGUCGAACGGGGGCAGCAAUGCCCUAGUGGCGGACGGGUGAGGAAUACGUAGGAACCGGCCCACGAGUGGGGGACAACCUGGGGAAACCCAGGCUAAUACCGCAUACGCUCGCGAGAGGAAAGCGGGGGGACCUUCGGGCCUCGCGCUGGUGGACGGGCCUACGUCCGAUUAGCUUGUUGGUGGGGUAAAAGCCUACCAAGGCGACGAUCGGUAGCUGGUCUGAGAGGAUGAUCAGCUACACUGGGACUGAGACACGGCCCAGACUCCUACGGGAGGCAGCAGUGGGGAAUAUUGGACAAUGGGCGCAAGCCUGAUCCAGCAAUGCCGCGUGGGUGAAGAAGGCCUGCGGGUUGUAAAGCCCUUUAAGCGGGGAGGAAAGCCGGGGGGUGGAAUAGCGCCUCGGGGUGACGUUACCCGCAGAAUAAGCACCGGCUAACUCCGUGCCAGCAGCCGCGGUAAU
RNAcentral lists this ribosomal RNA (493 nucleotides) under uncultured bacterium. RNAcentral describes it as "bacterial SSU rRNA". It matches the Rfam family "Bacterial small subunit ribosomal RNA", at positions 29 to 524 of the family's 1533-position model. The record is from RNAcentral.